Molecule: long non-coding RNA, 1991 nt
Filed under: Astyanax mexicanus (Mexican tetra)
Lineage: Eukaryota; Metazoa; Chordata; Actinopteri; Characiformes; Acestrorhamphidae
Description: lncRNA (ENSAMXG00005003874.1)
Source: RNAcentral
CCUCUUUCCUCAUCUUUCUCUCUCUCUCUCUCUCUCUCUCUCUCUCUUUCUCUCUCACUCUUAUCUCCCAAGUGAUGGAAGCCUGUCUACAAAGCAGAUCGUGUUCCUCCAGAGACCAGCACUGCCUCUCAAGAGGAAACAGUCAAAGAAACUCAUCUUCAGAACGCGGAACAAGGCGACCAAGAACUCCAUCAAAGACGCGCCGAAAAACAAGAAGAAGAAAAGCGCAGCCGCCGAGAGAGAGCUGGAUGAGGCGCCGAAGGUCCGGGACAGGGUGGAGAAGGAUGCGGCUGAAGAGGAUAAUAAUAAGGACACGAAGAAGAACAAAGGGAAAAACGAGGGAAGAAACAGAGAGAAGGAGACGGUAGAGGUUGAGGAGGAGAAGAGUGAGAAAUGGGUAGAGAAUGAAAGGGAGGUCAGGAGAGAGGUAGGGAAUGAAAUGGAUAGAGAAGAACGAGACGUAGAGGAAAAGCAAGAAGGGUUAGAGGUCAGGAAAGUGCAAGAUUCGACUACUGAGGUUAAAAACGAAGAAACCAAUGAUCUGAAUGCAGAGGCGGAGGUAGAAACAAGACAUACUGACUCAACUGGACUGGAUAGAACAGAGCAGGAAAACCACCAACAGCACACGACGCCAAUCCCAAUCGAGGAAUCCGAACAUCUGGCCGAUUCUGGUAAUUUGGAAUAAUCGCACCAUUUGCCUUGCCUCUGCUUGCAAGGGGCAGGGGCUUUGUGGACAUUUCAUUCAGUACACUCAGUGUACGAACAGGGAGAAAUCUUAAAAAAGCCCAACGCCUGUUCCAGUGACCUCUGAAAGCCCACUCUGACCAUAGCAGUGGGGUAAAAACAGAUGUUCCCCACCUGCCCUUGCCUAAGCGUUCAGGGUAAGACCAGAGAUUAUUACCUGUAAAAGCACUGGAUAUGAAAAUUACAUGGAUGUAUCUAUAUAUACAUAAGCCCAAAGAGGCCCAGGGCUGACGAAAUAUACUGACUCUUGAGCUGUCCAUUAUCCUGAACCUUACCUCAGUUGAAAAUAGCCUAUGCUGUGUAAGCAGUGGGCGCAUCCAGUGUGCUUAAAUAAGACGAGGAGGAGUAGGUGGCUUGUCGUUGCGAAAGGCAAUCUGCAAUCUGUUGUAAAGAAGUAAAGAAGAUAUUGUUGUGUCCUUCUGUUUACAUUUAUGAAUAUGUUCAGUCACGCUCCCAGCAAGCAUAAAGUAUUAAGUGCGCACUGAGAAGAAUUACAUUGGAAUCGCAUCGCAAAUAUGUGUUUCGCAUUCGAGCUGUCAGCUUUCGGGGCACGUUCUCAAGCCACAGCCGGGGAGAAAUCCAGAGACAAUCUGUGCUGACUCUGCAGCAGACUGUUUGUUUUGACUAUUUUUUUAUUUUAUUUCUCACUCGCCGAGGUAAUGAAUGUCAAAAUCCCAAAAGUCCACGAGUCCUUCGGUCCACAGAAACCAAAAAAAGAAGCCUGAAAAAGUUGGGACAUGACUUGAGAACACGGCAGACAAAUGAGAGCCUAAUCCUGUCCGCCAGAAAACAAGUGUAACCCUGCCGGCAGCAGAACAUCCAGAGCUGAAUCCAUUUGCACGACAUCUCUAAAAAAAAAAAAAACAAAUGGGUCUGACCUUUCUUGACCUGGCCUGGGUCCAGGGAUUCAUUAGGCGAUGAGGAUACAGCUGAAUGGCAUGACCUCUCAUUCGUUUGUAAUUAGCAAUGGGAGACCAUCUCAAAUUCAUAAUUCAUUUCAUGGGCUGAUGGUGGAAUGAGAUUUCCUGUACCUGUUAAAUGUUUGGACACUCAGAAAUAUAUAUUUGAUCUCAUUAAAAGGAACUCUGAUGUGGUUGCUCUGUAAGAGCAGUUCGUUGUUAGAGUAAAGCCCAAACCAGACACCACCAUUCUACACAGUCUUUUCUGGCUUGUUCCUGUUCAAAAGUACCAAACUUACAAGUCUAAACACAUUUUAAGACAAAAAUAAAUAUUGAAGUCGAUGCUCA